UCCCUGGGGACUAGUGGUUAGGCCUCAGUGCGCUCACCACCGUGGCCCGGGUUCGAUUCCUGGCUAGGGAA
Non-coding RNA from Pangasianodon gigas (Mekong giant catfish), 71 nucleotides. NCBI's taxonomy places the organism in Eukaryota, Metazoa, Chordata, Actinopteri, Siluriformes, Pangasiidae. The record is from the annotation of a GenBank genome assembly.